RNAcentral lists this ribosomal RNA (428 nucleotides) under uncultured bacterium. Its description in RNAcentral is "bacterial SSU rRNA". It matches the Rfam family "Bacterial small subunit ribosomal RNA", at positions 355 to 775 of the family's 1533-position model. The record is from RNAcentral.
UGGGGAAUAUUGGACAAUGGGGGAAACCCUGAUCCAGCAAUACCGCGUGUGUGAAGAAGGCCUUAGGGUUGUAAAGCACUUUAGUUGGGGAGGAAGAUGUGUAUUUUAAGAGAUAAUACAUUUGACUGUACCCAAAGAAUAAGCACCGGCUAACUCUGUGCCAGCAGCCGCGGUAAUACAGAGGGUGCGAGCGUUAAUCAGAAUUACUGGGCGUAAAGGGCGCGUAGGCGGUUGUAUAAGUUAGAUGUGAAAUCCCUGGGCUUAACCUAGGAACUGCAUCUAAGACUGUACAACUAGAGUGCAGUAGAGGGUAGUGGAAUUUCCGGUGUAGCGGUGAAAUGCGUAGAUAUCGGAAGGAACACCAGUGGCGAAGGCGGCUACCUGGACUGACACUGACGCUGAGGCGCGAGAGCGUGGGGAGCAAACAG